UGGGGAAUAUUGCACAAUGGGCGGAAGCCUGAUGCAGCAACGCCGCGUGAGGGAUGACGGCCUUCGGGUUGUAAACCUCUUUUAGCAGGGAAGAAGCGAGAGUGACGGUACCUGCAGAAAAAGCGCCGGCUAACUACGUGCCAGCAGCCGCGGUAAUACGUAGGGCGCAAGCGUUAUCCGGAAUUAUUGGGCGUAAAGAGCUCGUAGGCGGUCUGUCGCGUCUGCUGUGAAAACCCGAGGCUCAACCUCGGGCCUGCAGUGGGUACGGGCAGACUAGAGUGCGGUAGGGGAGAUUGGAAUUCCUGGUGUAGCGGUGGAAUGCGCAGAUAUCAGGAGGAACACCGAUGGCGAAGGCAGAUCUCUGGGCCGUAACUGACGCUGAGGAGCGAAAGGGUGGGGAGCAAACAGGCUUAGAUACCCUGGUAGUCCACCCCGUAAACGUUGGGAACUAGUUGUGGGGACCUUUCCACGGUCUCCGUGACGCAGCUAACGCAUUAAGUUCCCCGCCUGGGGAGUACGGCCGCAAGGCUAAAACUCAAAUGAA
This 544-nucleotide ribosomal RNA is filed under the name uncultured bacterium. Its description in RNAcentral is "partial 16S ribosomal RNA". It matches the Rfam family "Bacterial small subunit ribosomal RNA", at positions 355 to 909 of the family's 1533-position model. The record is from RNAcentral.